CGCCAGACUCCUACGGGAGGCAGCAGUGGGGGAUAUUGCACAAUGGGGGGAACCCUGAUGCAGCGACGCCGCGUGGGUGAAGAAGCGCCUCGGCGCGUAAAGCCCUGUCAGCAGGGAAGAAAAUGACGGUACCUGACUAAGAAGCCCCGGCUAACUACGUGCCAGCAGCCGCGGUAAUACGGGGGGUGCAAGCGUUGUCCGGAAUCAUUGGGCGUAAAGCGUUCGUAGGCGGCAAGGUAAGUCUGAUGUUAAAGCCCGGGGCUCAACUCCGGUUCGGCAUUGGAUACUAUCUAGCUAGAAUGUGGUAGAGGUAAAGGGAAUUCCUGGUGUAGCGGUGAAAUGCGUAGAUAUCAGGAGGAACAUCGGUGGCGAAAGCGCUUUACUGGACCAUUAUUGACGCUGAGGAACGAAAGCCAGGGGAGCAAAUGGGAUUAGAUACCCCCGUAA
This 447-nucleotide ribosomal RNA is filed under the name uncultured bacterium. Its description in RNAcentral is "partial 16S ribosomal RNA". It matches the Rfam family "Bacterial small subunit ribosomal RNA", at positions 329 to 793 of the family's 1533-position model. The record is from RNAcentral.